This 1101-nucleotide long non-coding RNA is filed under the name Homo sapiens (human). RNAcentral's name for it is "non-protein coding lnc-KLF11-1:6". Lineage: Eukaryota; Metazoa; Chordata; Mammalia; Primates; Hominidae. The record is from RNAcentral.
GUCCCCUGCCUGAAUCCGAACAUGCUGGCUCCUGAUCCUGGAUUUCCAGCCUCCGGAACUGUGAGAAAUCAAUGUCAGUUGUUGAGAAGCACCCAGUUUAUGGUGUUUUGAGACAGCUGACUGGACUAAGGCAGAACGAAAGAGGGGAAGACUCACUUGUUUCUUCACAGGAUUAAACAGGUGAGCAGGUGGAUGGAAAGAAGGGGGAGGAGGGAAAAGGGGGAAGGGGAGACGGACAGGUCAAAGGAGAGGAGAAAAAUGGACUUUCUUUUUACAUAAUUUUCUGUAUUUCUGCUUUCUGUAAUAAGGUUGAGCUGCUUUUGCAAUAAUAGUAUUACAAUUUAUGUAAAGCACUACAUAAAAAUAUUAAACAAAUCUUCCACUGUGCUCGUCACAAAAGCAUUAGUUAAAGAUCUAACUAGGGAGGCCAGGUGCAGCGGCUCACGCCUGUAAUCCCAGCACUUUGGGAGGCCAAGGUGUGCGGAUCACCAGAGGUCAGGAGUUUGAGACCAGCUGGCCAACAUGGUGAAACCCCACCUCUACUAAAAAUACAAAAACUACCCAGGCAUGGUGGCGCGUACCUGUAAUCCCAGCUGCUCAGGAGGCUGAGGCAGGAGAAUCGCUUGAAUAUGAGAGGCAGAGGUUGCAGUGAGCUGAGAUGGUGCCAUUGUACUCCAGCCUGGGUGACAGUGAGACUCCGUCUCAAAAAAAAAGAUCUAAAUAGGGGAUUCCCUCCUCCCCCCACCACAGUCCACCAACACACGACGAUGCAGGCCACACACUCACUGGGAGGGCAAGGCUUGGGGCAGGGGCGGCAGGGACAGUGGGCAGAGAGGUCUUUACCUGGGCCAGCUGUGUGAGCAAGACUUGGGCAAGCCCUUUAGCCCCACCCCCCACACUCAACCCCCUCUGUAAAAUAGGCUGAGAAUACCUACAAGUCUGUGUGAAAAUUAAAUGAGAGACUGGGUACGUGUGUAUGCAACAGCGUCUGGCACACCGUGUUUGAUAAAUAGCGGCUAACAUGAUUAACUGUGUGUUCACAUUAUGUGAAUAUUCUUAAUAUUGCUCCUGGUCCUAAUACUAAGAAUGAGAAAUUAGGAG